RNAcentral lists this transfer RNA (72 nucleotides) under Loxodonta africana (African savanna elephant). It matches the Rfam family "tRNA". From Rfam's summary of the family: Transfer RNA (tRNA) molecules are approximately 80 nucleotides in length. The record is from Rfam by way of RNAcentral. Lineage: Eukaryota; Metazoa; Chordata; Mammalia; Proboscidea; Elephantidae.
GCCCUAGUGGUACAACGGUUAAGCAUUCAGCUGUUAACUGAAAAGUUGCCGGUUCAAACCCAGCCGGGGGCU